Molecule: ribosomal RNA, 325 nt
Filed under: uncultured bacterium
Lineage: Bacteria
Description: bacterial SSU rRNA
Rfam family: Bacterial small subunit ribosomal RNA
Source: RNAcentral
GACGAACGCUGGCGGCGUGCUUAACACAUGCAAGUCGAACGAGGGCUCAGAGCUUGCUCUGAUGACCCGAGUGGCGAACGGGUGAGUAACACGUGACUAACCUACCCCUCGGCGGGGGACAACCCGGUGAAAACUGGGCUAAUACCGCAUAUCGUCAUAGCAUCGCAUGGUGCAUUGAUUAAAGGGAGCCUCUUCUUGAAAGCUCUCACCGAGGGAGGGAGUCGCGUUGUAUCAGCUUGUUGGUGAGGUAAUGGCUCACCAAGGCUACGACGCAUAGCGGGUCUGAGAGGACGACCCGCCACAUUGGGACUGAGAUACGGCCCAG